UAUUCUGCCCCAUGGGGAAGGAUGAGAAGCUUCGACUAAGGUUCGACUCGAGCGCCAGCGAGAGAACGUUGCCGCAGGCAACGGCCCGAAGGGCGAGGCGCUUUAGCGCCGAGUAAUCCUUCCCCCACCACCA
This 133-nucleotide small RNA is filed under the name Klebsiella pneumoniae. RNAcentral's name for it is "RtT sRNA". It matches the Rfam family "RtT RNA". Rfam says of the family: This family represents a bacterial cis-regulatory element known as RtT RNA. RNAcentral also lists the same sequence under 22 other names. The record is from RNAcentral. Lineage: Bacteria; Pseudomonadati; Pseudomonadota; Gammaproteobacteria; Enterobacterales; Enterobacteriaceae.